This 5285-nucleotide unclassified non-coding RNA is filed under the name Harpegnathos saltator (Jerdon's jumping ant). Its description in RNAcentral is "serine-rich adhesin for platelets, transcript variant X4". Lineage: Eukaryota; Metazoa; Arthropoda; Insecta; Hymenoptera; Formicidae. The record is from RNAcentral.
GAGAGAGCGAAGAGGACCGAGGAGAGAGGAGGCAGAGAAACGAGGGGGGAAACGGUCGGUUCGGCCAGAAGAUUAAGAAAAGAAGGAGGAGGAACAGAGCGGCGACGAAGUAGCUAAACUAGAAAUAACUAAUAAGACAUUCACUCUGAGACGGGCGGCCAGCCGGCCCGGACGAACGCGCUGUCACAGCGCUGGAUUUCGGCGACCGGGAAGCACCACCACUCGGGGACUCGUAGGGAGGUCCCCCAACCGGAAGAGGCCGCCGUAAGGCGGUCGACAAAUCAGGCAUGGAGCAGUUCGAGCAGCUGCUAACCUGCGCGAUCUGCCUGGAUCGGUACAGAAAUCCGAAGCUCUUGCCAUGCCAGCACAGCUUCUGCAUGGAGCCGUGCAUGGACGGCCUGGUCGAUUACGUCCGUCGACAGGUCAAGUGUCCGGAAUGCCGCGCCGAACAUCGUAUACCGUACCAAGGCGUGCAGGCCUUCCCGACCAACGUGACUCUGCAACGUUUCCUGGAGCUGCACAUCGAGAUCACGGGCGAGCUGCCGGACCCGACCAGCGGCCAGACGAUGGAGCGCUGCGGCGUCUGCUCCGAGAAGAGUUACUGCGCCCUGUGCGUGCACUGCGAGAAGAAGUGCUGCCCCGAGUGCAAGGACGCGCACAUGGACAUCCUGAGGCGCGAGAUCACGCGCAUCAAUUCCCAGGUGCGCCGGGGUCUGCACAGGCUGCAGGACGCGUUGGCCCUGGUGGAGAAAAACACGCUGGGUCUGCAAACAAACUGCGCCUCGGUCGCCGAAGAGGUGGACGAGAUUUAUCGGAGGCUGAGCAAGGCUUUGAAAGACCGCACGGAACAUCUGCGUAACGAGGUCGAUCGAUACCUCGGCGCCGAGCUCAGAGGCCUGAUUCAGCUCAAAGAGAAUCUCGAACUGGAAAUCGCGAAUAUCCAGAGCAACUGCGAUCUGGCGGAGGCGCACAUCAACGAGAACGUACCGUGGGACGACGCCGAGCUGCUGGACACAAAGGAACUCUUCCUGCGUACCGUCGAAUUUAUCAGGAACUUCGAGUACGAAGCGGGGGAUUACAGCCGGCGUGUCCGCUUCGUGAUGGCGCACGAUCCGAAUCAGCUUGUCCUACAUGUGGCGGGUUACGGCGAACUGAACAUUAAACCCGAGAGCGGGAGCGGCGGAUUGCUGGGCAGCUCCAGCAGUUUAGCCCCACCUGGAGGCUCGCCCGGCCUCAUGAGGAGCAAGAGCGAUCACCGUCUCGCCUCGCAAUACAGGCAGCAGGAGGAGGAACGACUGGCCAGGAAUCGAUACGUGCCGGAAUACGAGUACGACGCGCCCGAGUACGAAGUGCCGAGGAACAAGUCCCGAUACAGGAGUCGAUUCAUGCGUCACCGCGACGGCGACGAUUCCGACGGCGACUCCCGGUCGACGGUGAGGUUCACGUCGGAGCGGCAGGAGCCGUCGGCCCUGCGCGAGCGCGUCCUGGACACGGAGGACGCCGCGCGCGGGCCUCUCUCCGGCAUAUUUCGCCUCACGGACUCGCCGCGGGUCAUGAAGAAGCUGCAGGAGUGCGAGCGCGCCGGCAAGAGGAAGAAGGAGGAGCCGGCGAGCCAGCAGACAACGGUGCAGCAGCCUCAACCAGCCAAGCCUCAGGUGCAAGUGAGAAAGGUACCGAGCGCGAUGGCGAGGCAGACCAGCGAGGACGACGAGAUCUCGAGGAUCAAGAAGCAGAACAAGAACGCCGCGACGGCCGGCCACGCCGACAUGGUAGAGGAGAGACAGCCGACGGCGCCCGCUGCUCCGGUCCAUCCGCCACCGAGAGAGCUCCCAGAGCGGGAAGUCGAAGAGCCGGUCAGGCGGCCGGCUAUCGCCAGGAGAACUUCGGCGGAAACUCACGCUCCCCCCGCGGCUAGGAGCGCCUCGUCGGACUCGAGCACCGGCUCCGAGAGUUCGACCGGCUCGGGGAUCCGCAAUACGGGCGCGCCCUUCACGGCCGAGGAGAUGAAGCAGAAGUACCUGUCGAGGGCGCCGCCGACCAACACUACCACCACCACCGUGUCGACCGGGCCGCCUGUGUCCACCACCACCGCCGGCAGGGACUCGGCCAAUACCACCACGCCGACGCCGAGGCCGUUCCAGAGCCGUUUUUUAGGCGCAGGUAACCGAGCGGCCCCGCCACCACCGAUCCAAACGUCGCGAGAAGAGCCGGCGGCUGCGAAGAAGAAGGAAGAAGAGGAUGACGACGAUGAGGAGACGAGCAGCUCGUCCGAGGAGACCGAGUCGGACACCGAGGAGGAGUCGGAAACGGACGUUCACCAUCCGUCCAACACCGCUCCAUCGUCAACCUCCGCUGUGCCUCAGGAUCGUCAGAGGAACGAGUCCGCCAUGGCGCGCACCGAUAUAGGACCUCUGCUCGCUCGCAGCGCCGAGGCCAGGAGGGGCAGCAAGGAGGACUCGCCUUCCACCAGGUAUUCGUCGCCGAGAGGGAGCCCCGCGCAUUCCGUGACGAGCCCGACGACGACGAUGACGACGAUGACGAGCCCGGGCGGCGGCGGCGGUGGCGGCAUCGGUGGCAUUGGCGUUGGCGUUGGCGUUGGCGUCACGACGCCGACGACCACGCCGGGCGGUUACACCAGCAGGACGUUUAGUGACCGUACCGACGUAAGGUCGGCCGAUCGCGUCGAAGACGAUAUAGUAAUCGCGGCUACUACUAUUACUACUACUACUACUACUACUACUACUACUACUACCAAUACUACUACUACUACUAUCAAUACCAUUACCACCACUACAAUCGCGGAUUACGCUUUUAAUGCCGACAACGGGGACGUACUGAGGCAGGUUGUUAAACCGCCACCGACGAACACUACCCCGCAAAUUACGGACGCUAUUACGGACACCGACAACAAAUCGACCACCUCAUCCUCCUCCCACCUCGCGAUUAGCCCCGAAAGUCUCAUGGAAGGUAGCCGCGGUAGUCGAGUUGCGAGCGUGGCCGAAGACGACGCGCUAGCGGACGGUCGUUCAGGAGACGAUGAGGUCUCGUUGCUGACCGGACACGACCGGUACGGGUCCACUUGCAUCAUCGUGGUCGAUGACUCCGCAACGAGAACGCGCGACACCGUCAUGCCCGAGUCCGAGGACACGCCGGGUUCGCGAGCAGCGGAGGACUUGGCGAGAAACGCGAUUGUCGUCGAGCGGUCCGCGUCGGACCUCUCGAGUCUAUCGGCCGAGGCGAUCGACCAGCGCAGAGACCGGUCCAAGUCCAAAGAGUCCCAAGGAAUGUCCGAGAGCUCGAGUUCCGUGAGCGGCCGGACCAUGUCCGACAGCGAGUCGGAGAGCGGUUCUGAGAGCGGCUCGGAGGACGAGGACGAGGACGAGGAAGAGGAGGAAGAGAACGAGGACGAGAACGAGGACGACGGUUCUCGGGAUGAGAAUUGCAACUUGAAGACGGAGAAGAAAGAGGACAAGGAGAAGGAGCGCAAGAACUCGAAGGGGACGAACGAUGCCGAGUACAGAGGGAACGAAGGUUCCUCGAACUCCUCCGACACCGACGGCGAAGCCACGGUGUUGAGCGUCGACUCCAACACCCGAGCCGACAGCAGUGUAACGCAAUCGGACGACGUGCGCUACGAGAGGGACCUGAAGCGCCGCAGCGCCUCGAUCAUCGACGAGAGGAGUAUCGAGGAGAUGUUCGACGACAACGGCUGGGUCAUCACCGAGCAGGACCUGCAGAGCGACGUGCGCACCGUGUCCGCGAUCCUGCCGGGUUUCGAACCCGCGAACGAUUCCAGCGAUCGGCCGGCCGAUCGACGACAGACUGAAGACACCGCCGGCGAGGCCAGCGACGCAGCUGGGACUCGUCCGGAGGAAGCCAUUCCCAAAAGCGCUGAGUGCAGACCGGACGAGGCAGUCUCGAGCAAUCUCGACGCCGAGACGGCUCCCUCGAGCGAACGACGAGCAUCCGAGGAGACCCUCCCGCCGAGGAGUCGCGUGUACAGGCAGAGCAGCCUCGGCAACAAUGGCUGGCUGGUGUCCGACGAGUCUGAGAGCGAGUCUGACCGCGCGACCUCGCCGAUCGAAGCGUCCUCCGACCGAAGGCUGGCAGCUGAGAUCGACGCUGAUGGCCAAGUGGAUCAUGAGACAGACCGAGAUAACAUGAGCAGCAUCGACGAGAACGGUUGGGUGGUACUCGACGACGAAGAUGAAGACGAAGAUGAAGCCGAUCAAGACGAUGAAGACGACGACGACGACGACGACGACGACGACGACGACGAGGACGAGGACGUCGUCAGCGAAGAUUCGGAGGAGCGCGGGAGCGCGGAGAACGCCACGAGCGCGAUUCGUUCCCAAGCGACCAGUCUCCUAAUGAAAAGAAACAUGGAGAACUGCGCGUUACUCGCAAACGCUACCCACCUAAAGGGCACCGAGUCGCCCGGCGAGCACGAGGGACCGCCCGGUGGCAAUAUCAGUAUACCGGUGCAAAUGGUUCCUCAACAAGAGCAGGAGCCAGGCGGCGAUGAUGGCGUCCCGCGAGCGGGAACGCGAGCGGGACCGCGAACGGGAACGCGAACGGGACGCAGACGCGGAGAUAGACUCGCCGUUGUCGACGAGAUCGCGCUACGCCGCCCUGAAGGAGCGCCGGCAGCGUCUGGCGCGUUCCCGGAGCUCGCACAACUUUGGCGGCGACGACCUCGACCUCGACGAGGAGCCGCCAUCGCCGACCACCCAGUCGCCGAACGCUUACCUGGCGGCGAAGUACGGCGCCGGCUCCGAGCUGGCCCGCAGCCGCAGCACCCACGCGCUGAAGUCGCGCGAACCGAGCCCGGAACGCGAUCGCCCGGGCGCCGAGAAGGACGGCGCGGCCUUGAGCUCGUGGGCGAGGUACCUGAAGAACAAAUACGGCAACCGCACCACCAAGGACAAGGAACCGCCCUCCUCGUCCUCCACGAUACCCUCGUCCAGUACCAGCGCGACCUCCAGGAGGCUGUCGUUGGGCUUACCGCUCCGGCACGCCGGCCAGACGUCCUUCGAAUCUUCUGACGACGACCAAAAAAACCCGUCAGGCUCCCCCACGUCCCCUACGGCAGCUCCCGUUACACCCGCGGCAGCAGGUUCCUCCACUAGCAAUGGUCGGAGGAGUCAUUACUUGCUGAAGCGGCGGCAGCUGUUUAAGUUCGGGAUGCGGGGGAGCGAAGCCGGAUGCUUUACCUGGCCGAGAGGCCUCGCGGUCGGCCCGGACAACUCCAUCGUCGUGGCCGACAGCUCGAACCAUCGUGUUCA